UUAAGCUUUAAAAAAAAAGAGAGAGAGAACUAGUUCAAAAAAAGAGAAAGAGAAUGAGAAAGAGAGAGAGCUGCUGACGAAUUGGGUCAACCCAACCCAUAAAACUAACCCGGACGGAUCUCGUAAUUUUGGCCACCUCAUUGGCUGAGCAAAGUACCAAACAAAAGCUUGUGAGCUAGCCAUCACUUCCCUGCUGUCAUCGUUGCCAAACACCCAUCGAAAAGCCGCUGAUGGAAGCUUGAAAACCUGCGACUUUUUCACCUCAAUUCGUCAU
This 274-nucleotide long non-coding RNA is filed under the name Citrus sinensis (sweet orange). Its description in RNAcentral is "long non-coding RNA (CSIN_LNC005149)". The record is from RNAcentral. Lineage: Eukaryota; Viridiplantae; Streptophyta; Magnoliopsida; Sapindales; Rutaceae.